This 447-nucleotide ribosomal RNA is filed under the name uncultured bacterium. RNAcentral's name for it is "bacterial SSU rRNA". It matches the Rfam family "Bacterial small subunit ribosomal RNA", at positions 330 to 794 of the family's 1533-position model. The record is from RNAcentral.
UCCAGACUCCUACGGGAGGCAGCAGUGGGGGAUAUUGCACAAUGGGGGAAACCCUGAUGCAGCGACGCCGCGUGGGUGAAGAAGCGCCUCGGCGCGUAAAGCCCUGUCAGCAGGGAAGAAAAUGACGGUACCUGAAGAAGAAGCCCCGGCUAACUACGUGCCAGCAGCCGCGGUAAUACGUAGGGGGCGAGCGUUAUCCGGAUUUACUGGGUGUAAAGGGAGCGUAGACGGCGGCGCAAGUCUGAAGUGAAAGCCCGUGGCUCAACCGCGGAACCGCUUUGGAAACUGCGAGGCUGGAGUGCUGGAGAGGUAAGCGGAAUUCCUGGUGUAGCGGUGAAAUGCGUAGAUAUCAGGAGGAACACCGGUGGCGAAGGCGGCUUACUGGACAGUGACUGACGUUGAGGCUCGAAAGCGUGGGGAGCGAACAGGAUUAGAUACCCCCGUACU